Molecule: long non-coding RNA, 1477 nt
Organism: Coffea eugenioides
Lineage: Eukaryota; Viridiplantae; Streptophyta; Magnoliopsida; Gentianales; Rubiaceae
Exons: 4
Source: RefSeq, a predicted model, not a curated record
CAAGAGUUGCUGCUGCUUAUGUCAUCUGUUGUCCUGCUGCUUCCAUUAGAAAUCGACAGCUCACCUAUCUACUCUUAUCAAUCGAGUGGCUCGAGGAGUCCUAUGAGGCUAUGAUCACUUCCUUUCUUUUUUCUUCUCUGAUCAGGACUGCUCCUCUUCCAUUCUCCACCGAUAAUUCUCUCAAAACUCUUCUCGUUAGAACCAAGAAGAGGUGAAUAAAGUAAAAUGAUGAAGAGAAAGCUCAAUUAUGCACUUCCAUAGAUGCUGUAUUUUUUUCAAAUGUUUAUUUUUCAGUUUAUUAUUGUGGGUUUUUUCCCCUUGUUCAGCUCCUUAUUUUCUUGUCAUCGUCAGCAAUAAUUUGUCCUUUGUAUAUCUCUUGUCCCGCAAAACCAAUAACCAAACAUUCGGAUUUUACAAUUGUACAAAACUUUGUGCCUAAAAUAUUGACUAUAUUUUCCUUAUACUGUUCUUUGUUAGUUUUCCUUUUCGAGUGUUACACCCUUGGUGUUUUUGUCUAUUUGAUUUAAUUUUGUUCAUUUUCUCGGAUUAUUCUGCCUUGGAUUCCAGAGUUGAGAGUUACAACGAAAUGUAAAGGAUAUUCUAUUAUAUUGGUUGUGUUGUUUCUUCUAAGGUUAAUCGAAAUGGAUCGUGAUGAAGCUUGAAGCAUUGGUGAUGGUAAUUCUGCUAGAAACUUUAAGAUUUAUUUACGCCACUCAAAAUGGGUUCGAAUUGAACAGCAAGAGUCAAUUUCUUGAUAUUCAAGGCAUACAUGGCAUAGAAGAUUAUUAACCAUGUGGCUGAAAUUGUUGGAGACAAAUAAAAUGCCUAAAUGGCAAUUUGUUUGGAUAGAGUAUGCAAUCAUAGUGGUUUGUUUUAAUAAGUUCUCAUUUGAUGGGAUUAUCAUGGAUGUAGGAUAAUGCUUGACUGCCAUCAGCAGAUUUUGAUAAUAAUUUUGCUUUGAUGAAAAUCUAAAUUCUUUUCCCUUUCCCUUUUUUUCUGGUUUUGUCAGCUGUUUUUUUUUUAAUGAAUUUUAACUGUUCCUUUUUCCCCUGGGAUUUUUUGUUUCUGGUUCUCCGUAAUUGCUUUCUACAUUUAUUUCAUAUAUGUUUUAACUUUUCAAUUCCCCAGACUAGAAACUUGCACAAUGUUCUCUGGAAGUUCUUUUUCUUCUUGUAUCUGACUUGAUCAGAACUAAGGAUUACAGGCGAAGUUUAGUCUCUUAGUUUCAUUGGAGUAUUGUUGAUUGCAUGUUGAUAUUGGAGUAUUUUGUGGCGAAAACCUUCUGGCAGAAGAAGUUAUUUGAGAAUUUGAGGUGUCCAAAAAGCACUACGGAACAAGAGUAUAGUUAGCUGUUCAAAGUAUAGGUAAUAGAGUACUUUUGGAUCAAUGUAACUUUUAUUGUAUAUCUUGUUUCCUCCAAACAUGAUUGAAAUUUACAUUACUAAUGUACUUUUGGAUCAAUAUAACUUUAGUUCUA